RNAcentral lists this transfer RNA (82 nucleotides) under Actinomycetota bacterium. Its description in RNAcentral is "Actinobacteria bacterium (freshwater metagenome) tRNA-Leu". It matches the Rfam family "tRNA". From Rfam's summary of the family: Transfer RNA (tRNA) molecules are approximately 80 nucleotides in length. Their secondary structure includes four short double-helical elements and three loops (D, anti-codon, and T loops). Lineage: Bacteria; Bacillati; Actinomycetota. The record is from RNAcentral.
GCGGGUGUGGCGGAACUGGUAGACGCGCCAGGUUUAGGACCUGGUGGGGAAACCCGUGGAGGUUCGAGUCCUCUCGCCCGCA